Molecule: transfer RNA, 72 nt
Filed under: Xenopus tropicalis (tropical clawed frog)
Lineage: Eukaryota; Metazoa; Chordata; Amphibia; Anura; Pipidae
Description: tRNA-Cys (GCA) (tRNA-Cys-GCA-45-1)
Rfam family: tRNA
About the family: Transfer RNA (tRNA) molecules are approximately 80 nucleotides in length. Their secondary structure includes four short double-helical elements and three loops (D, anti-codon, and T loops).
Source: Rfam by way of RNAcentral
GGGGGUAUAGCUCAGUGGUAGAGCAUUUGACUGCAGUUCAAGUGGUCCCCAGGUCAAACCUGGGUGCUCCCU